CCGGGGUGGGGGCGCGGCGCUCCGGGAAGAGCCUUCCGCAGGUCCCCGCCCCGUCACGUGGGCGCCGGCCCCGGCCGCUGCGGUCGGUCCGCUGGUUGGUCGGGCGCUUGGUCCGGCAGUUGGUCGGUGGGCCAGUGGCCCGUCGCUCGCUUCUGGGCUCUCAUGUUUGAAGGUGGGAGGGACACGGGAGCGGCCCGCACACCUGAGCCGCCCGGAGAGGAGCCGCGGCCCCGUACCCAGUAAGAAGAGGAGGAGACCAGGCAGGCAAAAGGAGUCAUGGCUUCUGAUGCUAGUCAUGCGCUGGAAGCUGCCCUGGAGCAAAUGGACGGGAUCAUUGCAGGCACUAAAACAGGUGCAGAUCUUAGUGAUGGUACUUGUGAGCCUGGACUGGCUUCCCCGGCCUCCUACAUGAACCCCUUACCGGUGCUCCAUCUCAUCGAGGACUUGAGGCUGGCCUUGGAGAUGCUGGAGCUUCCUCAGGAGAGAGCAGCCCUCCUGAGCCAGAUCCCUGGCCCAACAGCUGCCUACAUAAAGGAAUGGUUUGAAGAGAGCUUGUCCCAGGUAAACCACCACAGUGCUGCUAGUAAUGAAACCUACCAGGAACGCUUGGCACGUCUAGAAGGGGAUAAGGAGUCCCUCAUAUUGCAGGUGAGUGUCCUCACAGACCAAGUAGAAGCCCAGGGAGAGAAGAUUCGAGACCUGGAAGUGUGUCUGGAAGGACACCAGGUGAAACUCAAUGCUGCUGAAGAGAUGCUUCAACAGGAGCUGCUAAGCCGCACAUCUCUUGAGACCCAGAAGCUCGAUCUGAUGACUGAAGUGUCUGAGCUGAAGCUCAAGCUGGUUGGCAUGGAGAAGGAGCAGAGAGAGCAGGAGGAGAAGCAGAGAAAAGCAGAGUCGGUUCUGAAUGUGAUCAGUGAGCUGCAGGAGCAGAUGUGUAGGCUGCAGCUGGACAUCCACAGGCAGAUUCAAGAGCGCCUGUUACUCAGUAGGGACCACCCUGAGGAGGUGGCGGCCAGCGACGGUGUGGCCGAGCCCCAGCCCUGCAGCCAGGACUGUGCCUGUUGGGAGGGGUCACCUGAGUUACUGCAAGAGCUCAGGCACCUCAAAAUCAAAGUGGAAGAGUUGGAAAAUGAAAGGAAUCAGUAUGAAUGGAAGCUAAAGGCCACUAAGGCUGAAGUCGCCCAGCUGCAAGAACAGGUGGCCCUGAAAGAUGCAGAAAUUGAGCGUCUGCACAGCCAGCUCUCCCGGACAGCAGCUCUCCACAGUGAGAGUCACACAGAGAGAGACCAAGAAAUUCAACGUCUGAAAAUGGGGAUGGAAACUUUGCUGCUUGCCAAUGAAGAUAAGGACCGUCGGAUAGAGGAGCUUACGGGGCUGUUAAACCAGUACCGGAAGGUAAAGGAGAUUGUGAUGGUCACUCAAGGGCCUUCGGAGAGAACUCUCUCAAUCAAUGAAGAAGAACCGGAGGGAGGUUUCAGAAAGUGGAACACUACAAAUAAGGACCCUGAAGAAUUAUUUAAACAAGAGAUGCCUCCAAGAUGUAGCUCUCCUACAGUGGGGCCACCUCCAUUGCCACAGAAAUCACUGGAAACCAGGGCUCAGAAAAAGCUCUCUUGUAGUCUAGAAGACUUGAGAAGUGAAUCUGUGGAUAAGUGUAUGGAUGGGAACCAACCCUUCCCGGUGUUAGAACCCAAGGACAGCCCUUUCUUGGCGGAGCACAAAUAUCCCACUUUACCUGGGAAGCUUUCAGGAGCCACGCCCAAUGGAGAGGCUGCCAAUUCUCCUCCCACCAUCUGCCAGCCUGACGCCACGGGGAGCAGCCUGCUGAGGCUGAAUCGUGGCCGGAGUGUCAGUGCCCCCGUAUUAGGAGACACAGAAAGUGGCUGGGAUGACACUGCUGUGGUCAAUGACCUCUCAUCCACUUCAUCGGGCACUGAAUCAGGUCCUCAGUCUCCUCUGACACCAGAUGGUAAACGGAAUCCCAAAGGCAUUAAGAAGUUCUGGGGAAAAAUCCGAAGAACUCAGUCAGGAAAUUUCAAUACUGACACGCUGGGGAUGGCAGAGUUUCGACGAGGUGGGCUCCGGGCAACCGCAGGGCCAAGACUCUCUAGGACCAGGGACUCCAAGGGACAGAAAAGUGACGCCAAUGCCCCCUUUGCCCAGUGGAGCACAGAGCGUGUGUGUGCAUGGCUGGAGGACUUUGGCCUGGCUCAGUAUGUGAUCUUUGCCAGGCAGUGGGUAUCUUCUGGCCACACUUUAUUGACAGCCACCCCUCAGGACAUGGAAAAGGAGCUAGGAAUUAAGCACCCACUCCACAGGAAGAAGCUUGUUUUAGCAGUGAAAGCCAUCAACACCAAACAGGAGGAGGAGUCUGCACUGCUAGACCACAUUUGGGUGACAAGGUGGCUUGAUGAUAUUGGCUUACCCCAGUACAAAGACCAGUUUCAUGAAUCUAGAGUUGACGGACGAAUGCUGCAAUACCUAACUGUGAACGAUUUACUCUUCUUAAAAGUCACCAGCCAACUACAUCAUCUCAGCAUCAAAUGUGCCAUUCACGUGCUGCAUGUCAACAAGUUCAACCCCCACUGCCUGCACCGGCGGCCAGCUGAUGAGAGUAACCUUUCUCCUUCAGAAGUUGUACAGUGGUCCAACCACAGGGUGAUGGAGUGGUUACGAUCUGUGGACCUGGCAGAGUAUGCACCCAAUCUUCGAGGGAGUGGAGUCCAUGGAGGCCUCAUUAUCCUGGAGCCACGCUUCACUGGGGACACCCUGGCUAUGCUUCUCAAUAUCCCCCCACAAAAGACGCUCCUCAGGCGCCACCUGACCACCAAGUUCAAUGCCUUGAUUGGUCCGGAGGCUGAACAGGAAAAGCGAGAGAAAAUGGCCUCACCAGCUUACACACCACUGACCACCACAGCCAAAGUCCGGCCAAGGAAACUAGGAUUUUCACACUUUGGAAACAUAAGAAAAAAGAAGUUCGAUGAAUCGACGGACUACAUUUGCCCAAUGGAGCCCAGUGACGGUGUCAGUGAUAGUCACAGGGUCUACAGUGGCUACCGGGGCCUUAGCCCCCUUGAUGCCCCUGAACUGGAUGGGCUGGACCAGUACAGGGAUCUCUGCAUGUGCCUGUUUUCAAAACCUGCAUGGAACUGUUGUGCCACUGAUUCUCUGCACUCUCAAGAAACAGGAGCAGCAUGUGCUCCACCCACCUGUCACUCCUCAGGGCCUGGCCCACUCCUUGCCUAUCCCUCCAGAGAAGCAUGCCCUGGAGAAGCCAGGCUUGAGCACGACAGGACUUGCAUGCCAUCUCUCUGAAUCACAAGCUGCAUCCAUGUGUGCUGACCAGGCUGCUGCCCAUUUUACAGAUGGCACCUUCGGAAGACAAUGCUGAGCCAGGACCAGCUGCUGAAUGACUCUCGCCUGCCUGCCCCCAACUCUGAUGACUGGAGAUGACUUUCUUCGUGGCUGAGAGCGUAGGGAGGCACGUGUGGGGGCCCCGGAGCCUUUGCUUCUGUGGGGAGCGGGCACACAGCCCCCUCUGCAAGCCCAGUCCGGGCUGGCAGGGUGUCUCAGACAGGCUGCUGACAGGCAUGAGGCAGAGCUGUGGGACAGGUGUCCAGGGGUGGCCCCAGGGUCCAUGUGUGUCUUCAACCAUGCCGCGCUCUUCACCGCAGGCUUCAUACCUUUUGUACUCUUAAUACAUGGACUGCAGACCACUUUGUGGGAGGGCAGUGUCAUAUCAGCACACAGACUCGAUGGCUCGUGCUAUUCCUGGUGACAGCCUGGAGGCUCUCACACUCGAGGGGAAGAGCUGUUAGUUCAUAAAACCUGCUGGAAAAAAAGUUCCGAAAAACUGUUUUGAAUGUUCUGUA
Pan troglodytes (chimpanzee) is the source of this 3872-nucleotide RNA transcript. It is a transcript of the gene named PPFIA binding protein 2, with no coding region annotated. Lineage: Eukaryota; Metazoa; Chordata; Mammalia; Primates; Hominidae. The record is from RefSeq and is a predicted model, not a curated record. The transcript has 29 exons.